GACGAACGCUGGCGGCGUGCUUAACACAUGCAAGUCAAACGGAAAGGCCCUGCUUUUGUGGGGUGCUCGAGUGGCGAACGGGUGAGUAACACGUGAGUAACCUGCCCUUGACUUUGGGAUAACUUCAGGAAACUGGGGCUAAUACCGGAUAGGAGCCCCUGCUGCAUGGUGGGGGUUGGAAAGUUUCGGCGGUUGGGGAUGGACUCGCGGCUUAUCAGCUUGUUGGUGGGGUAGUGGCUUACCAAGGCUUUGACGGGUAGCCGGCCUGAGAGGGUGACCGGCCACAUUGGGACUGAGAUACGGCCCAGACUCCUACGGGAGGCAGCAGUGGGGAAUAUUGCACAAUGGGCGGAAGCCUGAUGCAGCAACGCCGCGUGCGGGAUGACGGCCUUCGGGUUGUAAACCGCUUUCGCCUGUGACGAAGCGUGAGUGACGGUAAUGGGUAAAGAAGCACCGGCUAACUACGUG
This 468-nucleotide ribosomal RNA is filed under the name uncultured bacterium. Its description in RNAcentral is "partial 16S ribosomal RNA". It matches the Rfam family "Bacterial small subunit ribosomal RNA", at positions 28 to 507 of the family's 1533-position model. The record is from RNAcentral.